GUGAAUAUAGUUUAACCAAAACAUUAGUCUGUGGCGCUAAUAAUGGAAGUUAAAAUCUCCCUAUUAACC
This 69-nucleotide transfer RNA is filed under the name Eirmotus octozona. RNAcentral describes it as "tRNA-His". It matches the Rfam family "tRNA". From Rfam's summary of the family: Transfer RNA (tRNA) molecules are approximately 80 nucleotides in length. Their secondary structure includes four short double-helical elements and three loops (D, anti-codon, and T loops). Lineage: Eukaryota; Metazoa; Chordata; Actinopteri; Cypriniformes; Cyprinidae. The record is from RNAcentral.